AAAUAUUAAGAGUACUAUUCCACAAACAGAAGUGCCAGGGAAUACCUGAAGUUUGUGGAAGAACGUUUUUGUUCUGCAGAUAAAUCUCUCGAUGGUACACUAAUGGUUGAACUCACGACCAUGAAGUUUGAUGGGUCGCGUAGUAUGCAAAAUCAUAUCAUCGAGAUGACUAACAUUGCAGCAAGACUUCAGACUACACUAAUGGUUGAACUCACGACCAUGAAGUUUGAUGGGUCGCGUAGUAUGCAAAAUCAUAUCAUCGAAAUGACUAACAUUGCAGCAAGACUUCAGACCUUGGGGAUGAAAGUGGAUGUCUCCUUCUUGGUUCAGUUUAUUCUGAAUUCGUUACCUCCUGAGUAUGGACCAUUUCAAAUUAACUAUAGCACUAUUAAAUAUAAGUGGAAUGUUAGUGAAUUGUCCAGUAUGCUUACUCAAGAGGAGUCAAUACUUAAGAAACAAGGGAGUCAUUCAAUUAACCUCAUGGGUCAAGGAGCUGGUAAAGGACUUAAAGUGAAGGACAACAAGUUCAAGAAGAAGAAAGCAUCUGCUAAAGCUCAACAUGAUGCUAACAAGGAACAUGAGACAGAUACGUGUUGUUUCUGUAACAAGGAAGGACACCAUCAGAAAGAUUGCUUGAAACAUAAAGCUGGGUUCAAAAUAGAAAGGCACAAUUAGUGUUUUUGUAUGUUUCGAAUCAAAUUUAGUAGAAGUUCCUAACAAUACUUGGUGACUUGAUUCUGGUGCAACUGCUCAUGUAUCUACUACAUUGCAGGUGUAGAAAAUCACUCUAUCUAUGAUAUGUGCGCUUUGGUGGUAUGAGCAUCAUUUUCAGGUAU
This 836-nucleotide long non-coding RNA is filed under the name Nicotiana benthamiana. RNAcentral describes it as "long non-coding RNA (NBEN_LNC040957)". The record is from RNAcentral. Lineage: Eukaryota; Viridiplantae; Streptophyta; Magnoliopsida; Solanales; Solanaceae.